UGAAUACGAGAUGCUACGGCGUCGAAGCAGUCUAUGUCAUACUUCCAAGAAAAGCUUGCACUGUCAUAACAAAUAAUGCCUGUACCAUAACCGACACAGGUGGGUAGGUAGAGUAUACUAAGGGGCGCGAGAUAACUCUCUCUAAGGAACUCGGCAAAAUGACUCCGUAACUUCGGGAGAAGGAGUGCCUUAUUUAUAAGGUUGCAAUAACAAGAUCCAAGCAACUGUUUACCAAAAACACAGGUCUCCGCUAAGUCGUAAGACGAUGUAUGGGGGCUGACGCCUGCCCAGUGCCAGAAGGUUAAAGAAGUUGGUUAGCAUCCGCGAAGCUGAUAACUGAAGCCCUGGUGAACGGCGGCCGUAACUAUAACGGUCCUAAGGUAGCGAAAUUCCUUGUCGGGUAAGUUCCGACCCGCACGAAAGGCGUAAUGAUUUGGAUACUGUCUCGGAGAGGGGCUCGGUGAAAUAGACUUGUCUGUGAAGAUGCGGACUACCUGCACCAGGACAGAAAGACCCUAUGAAGCUUUACUGUAACCUGAAAUUGAAAUUGGACUUUACUAGCGCAGUAUAGGUGGGAGGCGUUGAGAAUAUUCUUGCGGGAUUAUUGGAGCCAUCAGUGAGAUACCACUCUUGUAAUGUUAGAUUUCUAACUUUGUAUCAUUAUCUGGUCAAAGAACAGUUUCAGGCGGGCAGUUUGACUGGGGCGGUCGCCUCCUAAACGGUAACGGAGGCGCACAAAGGUUUCCUCUGAACGGGUAGAAAUCGUAUCUAGAGUGUAAAGGCAUAAGGAAGCUUGACUGUGAGACCUACAAGUCGAGCAGGGACGAAAGUCGGUCUUAGUGAUCUGACGGUGCUGAGUGGAAAGGCCGUCACUCAACGGAUAAAAGUUACUCUAGGAUAACAGGCUGAUCUCCCCCAAGAGUUCACAUCGACGGGGAGGUUUGGCACCUCGAUGUCGGCUCAUCGCAUCCUGGGGCGGUAGUACGUCCCAAGGGUUGGGCUGUUCGCCCAUGAAAGCGGUACGCGAGCUGGGUUCAGAACGUCGUGAGACAGUUCGGUCCAUAUCCGGUGUAGGCGUUAGAAUAUUGAGAGGAGCCUUCUUUAGUACGAGAGGACCGAGAAGGACAUACCUCUGGUGUACCAGUUAUCGUGCCAACGGUAAACGCUGGGUAGCUAUGUGUGGAGUGGAUAACCGCUGAAAGCAUCUAAGUGGGAAGCCCACCUCAAGAUAAGUAUUCU
RNAcentral lists this ribosomal RNA (1239 nucleotides) under metagenome. Its description in RNAcentral is "bacterial LSU rRNA". It matches the Rfam family "Bacterial large subunit ribosomal RNA", at positions 1564 to 2814 of the family's 2925-position model. The record is from RNAcentral.